RNAcentral lists this long non-coding RNA (297 nucleotides) under Nicotiana benthamiana. RNAcentral describes it as "long non-coding RNA (NBEN_LNC004238)". Lineage: Eukaryota; Viridiplantae; Streptophyta; Magnoliopsida; Solanales; Solanaceae. The record is from RNAcentral.
AAGGCUGUGAUAGCCACUGCUUUUGUUACUACUGUAUCAUUGAUUUGGAGGUGCAGGAAUGCUAUUAGAUUUGAGAAGAAACCAUUUGAUGAUAAUCUUGUGUGCCGAGAGAUUGCAAUUCUUAUUCAUGCACGUGGCAGAAGUUGCAAGAAAUGGUUAAAGGGGCUGCGACAACUUAAUUACUAUCCCUAGUUCCUAGUUUGAUUUGUAAUAGCAGUAUAGUUGUUUAGGAAGCGGUAGUUAGUCUAUACUACCACUAAGAACACUCUUAUGUACAUUUGUUGAUAUCAAUAGAAG